This 63-nucleotide transfer RNA is filed under the name Populus alba (white poplar). It matches the Rfam family "tRNA". From Rfam's summary of the family: Transfer RNA (tRNA) molecules are approximately 80 nucleotides in length. Their secondary structure includes four short double-helical elements and three loops (D, anti-codon, and T loops). The record is from Rfam by way of RNAcentral. RNAcentral also lists the same sequence under 1 other name. Lineage: Eukaryota; Viridiplantae; Streptophyta; Magnoliopsida; Malpighiales; Salicaceae.
GCAUCCAUGGCUGAAUGGUUAAAGCGAUGAAUAAUAGAGUGGGUUCGAUUCUUGCUGGAUGCA